This 530-nucleotide ribosomal RNA is filed under the name uncultured bacterium. RNAcentral's name for it is "partial 16S ribosomal RNA". It matches the Rfam family "Bacterial small subunit ribosomal RNA", at positions 355 to 900 of the family's 1533-position model. The record is from RNAcentral.
UGGGGAAUAUUGCACAAUGGGCGAAAGCCUGAUGCAGCAACGCCGCGUGAGUGAUGAAGGUCUUCGGAUUGUAAAGCUCUGUCUUUUGGGACGAUAAUGACGGUACCAAAGGAGGAAGCCACGGCUAACUACGUGCCAGCAGCCGCGGCAAUACGUAGGUGGCGAGCGUUGUCCGGAUUUACUGGGCGUAAAGGGUGCGUAGGCGGAUGUUUAAGUGAGAUGUGAAAUACCCGGGCUUAACUUGGGUGCUGCAUUUCAAACUGGAUAUCUAGAGUGCAGGAGAGGAGAAUGGAAUUCCUAGUGUAGCGGUGAAAUGCGUAGAGAUUAGGAAGAACACCAGUGGCGAAGGCGAUUCUCUGGACUGUAACUGACGCUGAGGCACGAAAGCGUGGGUAGCAAACAGGAUUAGAUACCCUGGUAGUCCACGCCGUAAAACGAUGAGUACUAGGUGUAGGAGGUAUCGACCCCUUCUGUGCCGCAGUAAACACAUUAAGUACUCCGCCUGGGAAGUACGAUCGCAAGAUUAAAAC